This 9085-nucleotide long non-coding RNA is filed under the name Pelobates cultripes (western spadefoot toad). Lineage: Eukaryota; Metazoa; Chordata; Amphibia; Anura; Pelobatidae. The record is from RNAcentral.
UUUUGCCUCUUUAUAAAUUGCUGGUAAUACCACACCUUGAAUAUGCUGUGCAGUUGUGCAAAUAUGCUGCUGCUUCUGUCAGAGAUAGGUAGACUAGUUUUUAUAGAAAAUGUUUAAUAAUGUAACUUCUGUCUUUUUAGAUAUGGUAUUAAAAAUAGGGAUGAAGUUGUCUUUGUGAAGAAGCUGAAAAAGAAAUAGGGUCUUUGGUAAGUUAUUUUACAUUUCAAAUUAAAUAUGUUAAUAAUUAAUAUGUUAAACCUAAAACCUUUUAUACAGAUAAGUGGUAAUAAUAAGAAUAAGUGCAUCAAUUAUGGAUAUCAAUGAAAAGUACAAACAUAGAAAACCAGUAUGCAAAUUUCUCAUGUUAGUGGGACAAAAUAUUAAAAUAAAUAUUUAAAUAUUUGAAACCAAUCUCCGUUAACUGGUUAAUUCCCAAGGAAAAGAAAGAAGACCGAUAUGUCCCAGAACAAGGAAUGGUGCAAAGCAGGGUUCUCGAAAGGAGCAUAUCUCGGAGCAGCCUGCAGACCGAGAGGCUUAACCCAAUGCAAGAGUCCUGAGAGGGAACAUAAGCCACCAAAAUGGUGGAACGGAAGACAAAAAUAGGCCAGAAAGACUUACCUUGAAAAAACUAUUCAGCCAAGGAGUUCAGGACGCCCACGAUAUAGGCCACUAAGGGAUCAAAAUGCCUCUUCAGACACCAGCCAUGUCAGGCCUAGAUAAUCACCUAGUGCCCGGCGUCCAACAGUCCCAGGGCAACUCUCAAGCCGCAACUCUAGAACAUCAACACGUGUGGGAUCCCAGCCGGAUUCCAAAGGAGAAUCCCGGAGGCAGGAAGCUGUAACAGGUCUUAGCACAACAAACCCCAGAUGUUGAGGGAACCACUGGUGACUCCUCAACAGUGGUACAAUCAAGAGUAUCUACACUCUCAGAAGCUUGGUCUGAUGGAAAGUCCUAUGUAUCAUGGAGAAAGGCAGCAACGAAUACGCUCCCAUGAACGGCCAGACCUGGAUGAACGCAUCCAUUGCUGCGUCGAGAUAAAACCUGAACCCAGCUGAGAAACAACAACAUGAGCGGUUUGCCCUGGACAAUGAAGAGGUCUAGAUGGAGCGGACCCUGAAGGAAGUCCAACACAUGAAACACUGUGGAAAAAAAAAAGGUCAAUCGUUGGCGUCCCACCAGUGCAGGUAAAAAUUCAGGAUGAAGUCCGGAGGGGAGCCGAAAUCGCCUCGUUAUUUUAGGCCCCCUUGUGUCGAAGCUACCAAUGGAGUCAUGCAGCUUGCUGUCCAGUGCAUAAAGAGCCGCCAUGCGGUGCUCCAUGGGAAGGCCACAUUGGCGUUGCCACACAAGCAGAUGGUGUGUUGGACCUAUUCACAUCCACCGGUGUUCCUUCAUUCAGAGCAUCAUUAGCCAUUGGAAAAAUCUAAGUCAGCGGGUCACUGAUAUCAAGGAGCUAGUCUUGCUCCAGGCCCUUGUGCACAUUCUUACCAAAAUGUGCCAGAAAAUUGCAAACACCAGGUCAAAGUCAGGGGUAAAGGCCACUUUAUCCGAUAGUGUAGGAGGAGGGCACCCCACCCUAAGCUUCGCCAUGACUUCCUUAUCCAGAGGGCGGUGGACACCUGAGGAACUUCGAAACGUGGCCAGGGAGCAUCCACUCCGAGGCGCGUGGACGUGUAAGGGGACAUGGGUUAAAGAGAGGCCAUCCCAAAGGAUCCAGUAUCUUCAUGGGAUCGACCGCAAAGGUCGACUGUGGACAUAGAGCAUCAGCCGGGGAAAUGUUGACCACCAUCUACCUAACAUAGCGGGAGUAACAACCAAAGGUGCCUUUGCCGGGCAAGCAGCGUACAAGUUGUCAGCCUUACAGAAAUGAAGUUGUCUUUGUGAAGAAGCUGAAAAAGAAAUAGUGCAAUCGGGGGCCCCCGAGAAGAUGUUCACAUCCACACUUCCAGCCGUACCGGAGCCAAAUCUAGCCAAUUUUUUUUGUCCUUGUGCGUGGGGGCCUCUUAGCCUGUCAAGGGAUGCUUGCAUGCGGAGCUUGUCCCCAGGGGGUGGAGAGACCCAUCUGAGUUAGAGCCUCUAGAGCCAGGGGCGAAACGAGUAGGCUGCGAGGCAAUCGGGGGGGUCAACCCCAUGGGAGGUGGCAAGCGCCUUGGGUAGGGAGUCCAUGAAAGGGACACACAGGCAGGCCUGGAGGCCUUCUGACACAUAAAGACUGAGACAUCGGCCAUAGUAGUUCCACUGGAACACAGAAAAAAGCAAAGGUCAGUGAGGUAGAGGGCCCAUGGCAGGCUUGGGGUCACCCAGAAUGCAAGAGGGGGUCAACCAACAAGCAGAGCUUAAAGCAGAGCAGCCCAAUAGAGAAGGGGUCACCCUCUGUCUGGUGGAAAUAUUUGUGAAUGAGAAGAUGGGCUGGCUGUGAGUGAUCAGACGGCACCCUGUGACUGGUCAUGAGUGACAGAAUGGCUAGCUGUGAGUGACAGGAUGGCCCACCUGUGUUCGGAUGUGAGCAACAGGAUGGUCCACCUGUGGCUGGAUGUGAGUGACAGGAUGACUCCUUGUGGCUGGCUGCCAGGAAUAGGAAUCAGCAGCCGAAACAUCAUGGCUCGGACAGUACUGGGAAGGGUCACUCAGGCACUAGACAUUGUAAGUCUGUGAGGUCAGUGUGACGAAGUGCCCUUUGCCACUUGGUCCUGGAGAGACCUGCUUGCCAGCCUCCUGCCCUGUGACUAUGGCCCCUGGGAGAUUUUUCCCUUUAAAACCAGCAUUUGGGCUUAUAGACUUUUAUUGGACUGUGUAUGGCCCUUUAAGGACUGUAUUUGGGCUUCUGAGACUUAUUGGAACAAUACCCCUUUAAGACGGUGUCCCCAGAGACCCAGGACCGGUGCAAAUAAUUUUGGGUACAUAGGCGAAGAUGCAUUUUUCCGCCCCCCCCAAAAACAUAUUCGCCCAUGUGCCUCUUAACCUCCCUUUUGUGUUUCUUAUCCCGUCUUUUAAAUAUCUGACUCCCUUUAGUGUAUUUUAUCUCCUAUUUUUGCCUUUGUGUGUCUCCUAUCUCUCCUCUUUGUAUGACUCUUACAUCCUCACACAUUUUGUGUCUUACUUCUCCCAGCCCCUUUGUGUGACUCCUUUUCUCCCAGCCCCUUUGUGUCUUUUAUUCUUCCCAGCUCCUUUGUGUGUCUCUUUCCUUCUCAAGCCCCGCUGUGUGUUUCUUUUAUAUCCAGCCCCUCUCCCUGUCCCAUAAUGGUCCCCUCCCUUCUCUGACCCAUACUGUUCCUCUCCCCUCUCUCCUCCUUUCCCUGUUCCUCAGUGUUCCUUUCCCUUCCCCCCUCUCCUCUGUUCCCUGUUGCUUAGUGUUCCUCUCCCCCCCUCCCUCCUUUUCCUGUACCUUAGGGUAUCUCUCCCCUCCUCUCCCUGUCCCUUGGUGCGCCACCCACCCCCAUAGUGGUCCACUCCCCUUCCUGGUGUGCCUCCUACCUUUCUUGUAGCGUGGCUGAGCGGAGCGAAUCCUGGUACAGUGAGCUUUUCCUGUCAGUCCUGCUAGGAACAGGAAACAGAAGUUCCUGUACCACGGUACACUCCACUUGGCAACGCUACAGUCAGGGGUGUAGAAACACUGACAGUCACACACACUCAAUGACAAACACACAGACAUCUCUGACAGCCAGACUCACUUAUCUGACACACUCAUUCAUUGACAGACACUCACACGCACACUGACAGACACACAAACACUGACAGACUCAUUGACAAACACACACUAACACACACACACACACUCACAGACACUGACACACACGUACUCACAUGCACACACGCACAUACUGACACACACUAACUCACACAUACACUGACAGAACCACACACACCUAUUCACAUGCGCACACACACACACACACACUGACACUGACAGACACACUCACUCACACACACUGACAGACACACAUACUCACAUGCACAGACACACUCACUCACACACUGACAGACACACAUACUCACAUGCACACACACACACACACUGACAGGCACACUCACUCACACACAGACACACACACACACACACACACACACACACUGACACACACACACACACACACACACACACUGACAGACACAUUCACUCACACACUGACAGACACACUCACACACUCACUCACACACACACUGACAGACACACUCACUCACACACACACUGACAGACACAUUCACUCACACACACACUGACAGACACACUCACUCACACACACACUGACACACACACACACACUGACAGACACACUCACUCACACACACACUGACAGACACACACACUGACAGACACAGUCACACACACACUGACAGACACACUCACACACACUGACAGACACACUCACACACACACUGACAGACACACACACACACACACAAUCUCACAGACACACAUACUCACAUGCACACACACACACACACAUAAAAAUUAAUAAUCUAAAUUAAAUAAAAAUUUCCCACCCAGCCUCCCUACCUGGACAGCUGGCGUGGGUCUCUCAUUGGUGGUCCAGUGGGGCUGCUGGGAGGCGUGCUGCUGAUCUCUCUGAUCUGCUCCCUCGCAGGCUGUUUACUGAUGCCGCGGGAGCCGGAAUUUGACGUCAUCAGUAAACAGCCUGCGAGGGAGCAGAUGAGAGAGAUCAGAGCUCCCUCGCCACCUCGGCAUCCAAUUCAGCCGCACGCCGCGCCGGGGAUCCAGGAGGUGACCUGGCAGGAGGGAGCACUUCCCUCCUGCCGGUCACUGGAAUUUUGCGCCCCCAGAGCCGGUGCGCCCUAAGGCGGUGCGACCCCAGACCUUCAAAAUACUUGGUUUAUGGCUACACAUUUGCAUAAACACCGCUGACCCUUACCUUCUCCUCCAUUCAGUAUUCCUGUUUCACAAUUUGAACACACAGUGAGACUAAGCUAUUUCUGAGUGAAAUUGACCAACCGCACAGCCCAAAUCUAUGGAACUGUUUUGGGCAGGAAAAUGUGCUUGCGGUCCGUCACAAAGGACUUCCGACUAACUUUUUAACCCCUGGAGGGAAUUGCCUGAAUUUUGGAUAUGUUUAUAUUUAAAGUAUGCUGAUUCAUAAUAUGGAGAUUGGAUGUAUAUUUUUAAAGUUAUAGUGAAUGUAUAAAAAGUAUAUUUUUCCUGCCUAUAUCACAGGCAGAGGGGAGGAUUUUGUGGGAAUGAAUUGGAAUGUUUUACUGUAUUAUAUGUGUUUUAUUGGUUGUUCUACAAAACCCUGUGGGCGGUACUGUAUGUGUAAAACCUGCAUAAAAGAAAGCCCUUUGGUGCUGAUUAAAAGAGAUCUUCUUGACCCUCAACACGUAGUCUUGUCUCGUGAUUGGAGGGGAACUGCUACAUUCACACUGGGGAUUGCUAUACUUUGUAUACUCCCCUGAGCUUUAAUCACUUAGCUCUUUUAAGAGCUGGUUCCUGAUACGCUCUCCUGGAGGAGAGGUCUUCACCACAUGGUCCUGGAGGACAGAGGCUGAUCCAGGGUGGAAGGAAGAUGGCGAGACUCUAGUUAAGCUACCGUGGUUGUGGAGUCUGUGGUGGUUGUGGUGUCCGGUGCGGUGGUUGUGGUCUUCGGCGCAAGCUAGAAAAGCGUCCAUCAACAGAGUACGAGGGAUUCCGUCAGUAAUAAGGGGCCUGAACACCAGGCAUACAGAGAUGUGGAACUCUGCAACAGACAAUCUCCCCUACGGGGGGUGGGGGGAGGGUGCUGGAAAACACAAAACAAACAAUACAAUUUAGUAGGUAGUAAUGCAAACAAACAGUGAGGGGGAGCAGCGCAUCCAUGUCUACAGAGUACAUACUGUGCUGUCCUCACAUAAGAAAGAACCUGCAAGAGAGAGGAGGAAAAAAAGGGGAUCAGCCACAUGGCCAGUAGAACCCCCCAUGCAGCGCUGCAAGUGUGGCCCAAUGGGUGAGACAAAAAGCAAGCGCGUGGGAGCCACGUGGCUCCGAUAAAAUGGCCGCCAUGGCCUAAUGCUGCAAAUGCAGCCGCUUGGCGUAAAGCGCCCACCAACCGGGAGAGCACACAGGAUGCGGCGGUUGAGUACAUGGCGCAGAGCGUUGAAAUCUAUUUGGGGGUGGGGGUGUGUGGGAGAGCCAACAAGGGCAAAGGGGCGUGGCGGACUCACAAGAGUGCUGCGGUUGUAGCAAUGCACAGUAAGGGGAGACCAGAGCAGGGGAAAACCCACAAAGUUGUCCACACUUGCCCCACACAAAAGUAAAUGUAAUAAAUAACCAAACAUACUAACUAAAAACAGCUUAGAAAUCAAGGCAAACAUGCAGCAUAAAGUAAUACCUGAACAAUAAAGCAAUAAACAGCCCCGAGCAGACACUCUCUGAGUUAGGGAAUGCCCAUCAGGCACACAGCCGAAGAGCCCCACACAAAAACUGGAUGGAAUAGAUAACCAAACAUACUAACUAAAUACAUCUUAGAAAUCAAGGCAAACAUGCAGCAUAUAAACAAUAAAUACAUACAACAUAUACAACAAUAUACAGGAACAAUAAAUCAAACAGUCCAGAGCAGGCACACUCUCUGAGUUGGGGAGCUCACCUGGAGGCAGCAGCAAAGAAAGAGGAAGUGGGAGGGUCUGCCUGAGAGUUUUUUGUUCUACUGUUCUUUUGUUCUGAUUGGUAGUUUCUGAAAAGUUAUAUUAACUAUUUAUUUGCUACUGGAGGUUUCAGUAAAGAAGGUAAAGCAAAUAUGAAGCCUCCAGUCUUGCCAUAAAAUUUAGAUCUGUUUAGUUUAGAAAAGCAGUGCAUAAGAGGGAUAUGAUAACAUGAUAAGAAUAUAUUCAGGGCCAAUACAAACUGUUGCGUAGAGAUCUGUUUGUAAACAGGACUAUACAUAGGACAAAAGGUCACACAUUUUGACUGAUAAAAAGAUUUAGGAAAGGGUUCUUUACAAAAGAUGUGGAAUUUUCUGCCUGAACUGGUCAUUGUAUCACAUCUGUACAGAUUUGUAAAGAGUGACUGGAUGAAUUGUUGCAAAACCAUAAUAAUCAGGGUCAUAAUAUUUAAUCUUCAAUCUCAGUUAGUGGACCAUGUUCAGCAGGUCACCUUGCUACAUAAAUACUUAUACGAUAUUAUUAAAUUAAACUAUGAUAUGGAUGGUAUAAUAGGGAUAGGGCUCUAAAUGUGUUAUGUGCUUGAGACUUAUAACUUACCCUACAAUGUACACAUCAAUGCAAACUAGAUAUGUAUUCAGAUAUAUUCAAAGAAAGCUUAUGUGUUUUCUACCUAUCAUAACUACCUUAUCCAAGACAAUAAAUCUAUGGAUGCGUCUAUCACCCAAAAUAUUAAUAAAUGUGUACAUGAAAUAUUGGUCAGAAACCUGAAUGACAAUAAUACAAACUGCGUGCACAAAAAAUACAGUGGCAAACUACAGGUAUAAAUGGUAACGCAUGAGAAUAUUGUAGCAAUCCAAGAAUAGAUGAUCCAAGAUUCAGUCAGUACCUGAGAGUGGUAGGUGUUUCUGCAGGAUGUAAAAUGCAGAUCUUCACUGAGUUUCAGAGUGGUAGGUGUUUCUGCAGGAUGUAAAAUGCAGAUCUUCACUUCAGAUCUAGAGGAGUCUGGUGUUCACUCCUCCUUGUCCCUUCUAUCUCCUCUCCUUCCUUCUACUUACUUAACAGUUCACUAGAUAUACUAUUGACUUCCAUUUGAUUACAUGGGUCACUUGUGAUUGGUUGGUGCUAUGUUUGCUUUUUCCCUCCUGGCCUUUGGCUACACAACACACAUCUAACAUGCCCCUGGGGUCUUUCUCAUAUGUACCUGAAUAGAGUUACAGAUUGCUAUCUUUAUAUGACCCACUGGAAUCCCAACAAGAUUAUUAUCAUCAAACAUUCCCAUUGUCUCUUGAGUUGUGUGGACAACACUACGGAUAAAACCUACUAUCUUGACAUACUUUUGUUUAUGGCUGCCCAUCCUAUAAACAAAAACCUCUAUUUCUAACUGACCACAUUCGGCCCUACAGCCAUCACGCAUACUCCCAUUCUCACACAUUUUGAUAUUAUAUUAGUACCCAUUUAUAAAACAUAAUGCCAAGAAUUUAUAAAAUUAGUUACUCCUCCAGCAGCAAUGGGGUUAAUCUCUGUAUGUGCAGGAUUUUAAAGCAGAGUGCUGCACAUACACAAUUCAGGUACAUUAUCAUUUGAAAUCGCUGAUCAUGGGGCUUGGAGUAAUCCUUUAAAGAAACACAAAUCAGGUUUUGAGUGGUGGAGCGUUUGUUUUGAUUACCUGGAAGAAACCAUUAUUCCGUACGUGAAUGCAAUCUGCUAAUUGUUGGAUUAACAUUUGUCACCAAGUGGUUCCUGUUCAGGAAUCAUACAGAAUACAAUUUUUAAAUUAGCUGUGCUUCUCUCUAGCUAUCACUUUAAUGGUUCUGGUUAGUAUGUCUAGAAUGUAUUGAUAGUAAUCAAUCAUAAUGCUAUUUUCAACUCUUUCUUCUAUAUAAAUAAUCAUUAAAACUGGCAAAUUUGGGGUCUUUGCAUAUUUUGCAAGGGGACAGGCUUGGUUUGUGUGCCGCAACCCACUGGAGAAGAUACCUGGAUAUUUACUUAAAUGACUAUUUAGGUAAGCUUGAGUGCAUUUAACAAUACAAUGUUUUGUUUUUUUUUCUUUUCUUUUUAUAGAACAUCAUCAAAUACAAAGGGAGAAAUGUACAACUAUAUUCUUUAACAAAGCUUGGUAUCAUGUUGUCAAAGACAUCUACCUAAAUUAUUCCCUUCAUAUCAAAGCUUCCGUGUAGUAACAACACCAAUGGUCGUAUCUGAAUAUACAAAAGCAACAGGAAUCCUCACUUCAAACAACACACAUUUUUGAAAAUUAGUUCCUCUGUCUCAGGAAGAUCUCAGAGUAUAGUUUCAACAACUGGUAUGGCAUGCUCGGCAUUCUCAUCCUUUUGUAGGGCAAAUUAUUUUUUUAAGUUUAGUUGGACAGUAAUAGCAUCUUGAUCCAAGGAAGUAUUUGGAAACUAGCUGGAAGAUACAUAUUUUACUUCUUAAAUGCAGUAAUAAUGACAUAAGAAUUUGUAUUACUUUUUUAAUAAACAUUUUUAUAUCUCACUAA